This is a long non-coding RNA of Megalobrama amblycephala (Wuchang bream), 1590 nucleotides long. RefSeq lists it as uncharacterized. The record is from RefSeq and is a predicted model, not a curated record. Lineage: Eukaryota; Metazoa; Chordata; Actinopteri; Cypriniformes; Xenocyprididae. The transcript has 3 exons.
AUAUUGAAAAUAGCAGAGGGCCUAAUACAGAUCCUUGAGGCACUCCAUAGUUUACUAUCGUUAUCUUAGAUUUUUCCCCGUUUAAAUAAACAAAAUUGUGACGGUCUGAUAGGUACGACCUAAACCACCGUAAUGCCUGGCCCUGAAUACCAGUAUAAUUUUGUAGUUGAUCUAGGAGUAUUUUAUGAUCUACACUGUAAAAACUAAAGGUGCCUCAAAUAUCCUUUUGGAUACUCAAGGAACUUCAAAAUGUAUUUUAAAUGCCUCAAAGCUCUUUCUCCAAUAGUGGGGUUACUGGGGGAACCAUUGACAGUCUUUACAGUUCUUGCAGGAACUUAUAGGAUCCUUUAAGCACUCUGUAUUCAGUUCUGAGGUUCUUGAGUCACCUUUUCAUUACCAUGAGACCUCGAAGUGCUUUGGGGGAAGUUAGAGGAACUCAAAUUCUACAAAAGGGUUCUUGUAAGAUCUGUAAACAUUUACAUGGUUCCUGGAAGAUCUCUUUUUUAAAAGUCAGCAUCUGGUGGAACCUGGAAGUUCUGUAAGGCCACAAUAAGAUGUACAGAUUUGAACAUGUAUUAUUAUUAUUAUUAUUAUUAUUAUUAUUUACUUAUUAUUAUACUUAAGUUUGAUUAAGUAGCCUAUAGCCUACAUAGGCCUACAUUUAUUCUGUAUAUUUUAUAGAUUAAUUUAAAGCUUAAAUAAUAAUAAUAAUAAUAAUAUUAUUAUUAUUAUUAUUAUUUGAAGAAGAAACAAGAGGAGGAUAAAAAUGAUUAUGCUGUCACGGAACUGCUGCUAUUUCUCUGCUGCAUCGCUUCAGUGAUCCUCGCGCUGCUCGCGCGCGCAAAAAAGCUCACCUCAUCAUCAUCAUCAUCGGAUUUGAAAGUAACGGCUCCCCUCAUCAAAGCCUGCCGCCGCAUCCGCGGUUUGCUCGGCUAUCCGUUAUAAGAACAACCAUUUCUGAAAUAAUCUCGAUAUGUUAGAGUACCUGAACCACAUGGAUCUUGGCCUAGUAUGCUGAAACAAAAAUCCUCCUGUAGACCUGAAAAUCAUUGAAGUGCCUGGAUCAUCCACCUGAAAAGAGAAAAAAGAAGCCUAGCAGAAAACAAAGCUGCUGUACCUUUUUACUUUUCUGAUUAAUUACCUCAAAUGUACCUUGUGAAGAUUUUAUUAUUGAUUGGAUUUUAUGUUGCCGUGAGUACAAGUGCAGUCACAUUUGUGGCAUUUCUGUGAAAUCACGCAGGCAAAAAGGUCCUUUGAUCAUUAUCAGCAAUAUAGCGACAUAUUAUAUGACGCAGCUCACAUAGGAGUCGCUUUUAAUCAGCUUUCUGUUGGUCAAAUCUGGUGAAUUUGAGUAACCAACUUGGACACUUAGUGAAAUUUUUGACCACACAUGAAAUUAAUGAUUGUGUGGAUUUCUAUUGAAAUUACUGGAAUUCAUUCUCCAAACAGCAGCAAAUUUUACUGCACCUUGAAGGGUUAGUUCACCCAAAAAUAUAAUUUCUGUCAUUAAUGACUCACCCUCAUGUCAUUUCACACCCGUAAAACCUUUGUUCAUCUUCAGAACACAAAUUAAGAUAUUUUUGAUAAAAU